Molecule: non-coding RNA, 141 nt
Organism: Xenopus laevis (African clawed frog)
Lineage: Eukaryota; Metazoa; Chordata; Amphibia; Anura; Pipidae
Source: Rfam
UCAGCAAUGAUGAUUGGCGCAGGGGUACCGACCUCAGCUGGAUAAUGGGAGCUGAGUGCAGAGCUCGGUCUGUCCGGUUAGCCGACGUGUGGUUGGUGGCCGGAAGACUCUCUGCAUGAAAUAGAUGCCAGACUGAGCUAC